This 2784-nucleotide long non-coding RNA is filed under the name Homo sapiens (human). RNAcentral describes it as "HSALNT0337583". Lineage: Eukaryota; Metazoa; Chordata; Mammalia; Primates; Hominidae. The record is from RNAcentral.
CUUAUUUCUAAGAAGUCAACUGCGAUUCCUUGCUAUGUGGUCUUCCUUGGCAUGUCUGCUUAUUUCAUUAUGUCCACAAGGAGAAUCUCUGGAUACAGUCUUCUUGAAAAACAAAGUCUUAAGAAUGAAGUUGUUGCUGAAGAAAGCGAAAGAGAGGGAGAACAGCCGGAGUCAUGAAAUCAACCUGAAGUUUCCUCCACUCCUGGACUUGCCAUUAUUCACAUUUUUGAUGUCUUUUAUAUUUCAAACUGCCUGAGUCGAGGUUCCUUGGACCUUGAAAUGCAUCAUUUCCUUUAUUUUCUGCUGAAGAUUCCUUGUAAUGAAGAUGAGGGGAGAGAUUGGGGGCCACUGGAGUUUUUCAACAAUAGGGGAAGAUUUUAAAUAAGGGCUCUGGCAUCCCACAUCCAGGCCUGGUACUUCAUUCAUAGUGUGCCAGGAAACACAGGUCAGUUUCCCAGUGCAUGCCUGGACCUCUAGCCUAAGGCUCCAGGGCAAACCAGAGGCGGAGAGCUGAUGUUGAGGGUCUGCUUACUAUGGAGCAGCAUCCACUGCAUCUUUCUUGGUGCCUGGCCACUCACUUACAUCUUCUUCACUCCUGAGCAUCAUGGCAGGGAUUGUUUUAAUUUAAUUCAAGCAGCAUAGCUCAGGGAAAGGGGACAUUUCAAGAUGAUUUAUAAUUUAGUAUAAGCAAAUUUGAGAUAUUUUCUUUAAAUUGUAUCCUCAUACGGAAGACAAUAAACAGAAGGGAGAAAGAGAAGGAAAUAAAGGCUCUUAAAAAGAGAAUGUGUUAGUUUGCCAGGGCUGCCGUAGAAAGUAUCACAGACUGGUGAUUCUGAUGAUUUAGACAACAGAAAUUUGUUUUCUCACAGUUCAAGAGGCUGGAAGUCCAAGAUCAAAGUGCCAGCAGGGCUGGUGUCCCCUGAGGCCUCUCUCCUUGGCUUGCAGGUGGCUGCCCUUGGGCCAUCUCUGCACAUGGCCAUCCCUGUGUGCACACACAACCCCAGUGGCUCUCUAUUAAUCCAAUUUCCUCCUCUUAGGGCACUUGUCAGGUUGCAUUGGAGCCCAUUUGAACGGCCUAAUUUUAACUUAAUCCUCUCUAUGAAGGCCCUAUCUCAAAUACAAUCACAUCCUCAGGUCCUAGGAGUCAGGGCUCCAACACUUUAAUUCUGGGGAGACACAAUUCAGCCUCUAACAGAGAAGGAAGGGGAUGUGGUACCAGUGAAAACUAUCCUUUCCUGGGCACAGGACGACCGCUGAGUUCCAACAGCAUGUGGGAAAUUACAUGUUUCGUAGGUGAGGUGCAGAGGGCCCCUCUAAGGAAGGCCCUGGGCCCUGGUGAGCUCUGCUUUCCUCACUGCCUGCCUUGUUCACAGCACACCCCACCUUCCUGAUUCUCCUGAAGGUCAGGCUGUGGCUCUUCCUGGGCAGUUGCUGGCCCAUGCAACCACAUUCACGACUUGGACCCUUCAACAGAUGUCCUGGGUGGAUGUUCUUGAGCUUGGCAGCCCAGCAUCCACUGGCUGCUUUGAGCAACACUGCCUUCGCUCUCAGCCCUUCCUGCCAGCAGUCAGCCCAUUUUCUCAGAACUACCUGAAUUAUUUUUAACUCAUGAUUUUGAGCCCAGGUGUGGUGGCUCAUGCCUAUAAUCCCAGCACUUUGGGAGGCCAAGGCAGGAGGAUCACUUAAGGCCAGGAGUUUGAGACCAGUGUGAGCAACAUAGCAAGACCCUCAUCUCUAUAAAUAAAUAAAUAAACCCAUGAUUUUUAAAAAUAGCCACCAACAAGGCUUUCUGGAUUUCUGUGCCCAUGGGUUUAUUCUCUGACUGACCUGGCUAAGAUGCUGAACUACUUUAAAAAUGUCAAACGCUGAGGACUCCAAUGGUAAAAGUCAAGCAGGCUUUAUUUCUACAUGCUGGGCAAUGUUGUUUUCCUGAAUGUCUAUCAAAGUAGAUGAGCAAUGCCCAGUUGCAUGUCUCCUUCUCGUUUGAAAAUGUCUGUCUUUUGUGUCAGCUAACAAGCAGGGAUUUCUACCAAGCGUUCUUUCAAGCACAACAGGCCGACCUUGAACUCCGUGAGUUUUAGGAAAACAGUGGGGUGUUUCUUGUUGGCAAACCACAGUAAAUAUUUCCAAAAGCUGUCACCUUCCAUCUCAGUGACACUCCUGGUGCUGUCUCAUGUCAUCUGUAUCAGGCAAAACUGGUUAUUGGUCAUGUAUGAAACCAGUGAAGGAGGAGUACUAUGUUUCUAUGGAUUAUUUUCCUACAUCUGAACAUUUGAUUUUGUUUUAUCCACAUUAUAUUUGCUAUGCUUUAUUAUAUUUGUUAUGCUUUAUUUUCCCUUUCGUAUUUCCAAUAAAGUGUUUACUUCCCAGCAUGGCUGGUUUUUACUCAGUCCGGAAAUCCUGGUCCUAUCAGUCUCCAGUGGUGGAGUAGAGGAGAGAUCAAGAGCAUCAGAGGUCAAGGGAAGGGAAGUCAUUGUGGGCUUCCUCCAGUCUCUGGAUUCUGCCUCCCCGAUCCUGUUUUGGGUCUCUCUGACAUUGUGCCUGUGAGCCACAUAUAGCCCUCAUCCAUAGUCUCCCUUCUUUUUGCCGUGAUGAGAUGUUUGAUAGCUGGUGACCAAUUUCACUAUGAAGCCAGGCUUUCAACAUGAUCACAACUUCAAUAGAAAGAAGCCAGUUGCCAGAAUGUUUCUGUCUGCCUAGCUCCAUAUUAAUACCUCCGGAGGUUUCUGCAUAUAUUCCCAGUGCCUGUGUCUGUCGGAAAGAUAAAACCCUAAUGUAUUCGUU